Molecule: ribosomal RNA, 630 nt
Filed under: uncultured bacterium
Lineage: Bacteria
Description: bacterial SSU rRNA
Rfam family: Bacterial small subunit ribosomal RNA
Source: RNAcentral
UAGAGUUUGAUCAUGGCUCAGGAUGAACGCUGGCGGUAUGCCUAACACAUGCAAGUCGUACGAGAGUUUUUAACUCUAGUGGCGGACGGGUGAGUAACACGUGAGAAUUUGCCUUUAGGAGGGGGAUAACAAUUGGAAACGAAUGCUAAUACCCCAUAUGCUUUCGAGUGAAAUGGAUUUAUAUUUAUCCGCCUAGAGAGAAGCUCGCGGCUGAUUAGCUUGUUGGUAAGGUAAGAGCUUACCAAGGCGACGAUCAGUAUCUGGUUUGAGAGGACGAUCAGACACACUGGAACUGAGACACGGUCCAGACUCCUACGGGAGGCAGCAGCGGGGAAUUUUCCGCAAUGGGCGAAAGCCUGACGGAGCAAUACCGCGUGAGGGAAGACUGCCUAUGGGUUGUAAACCUCUUUUUUCAGGGAGGAAUCAAUGACGUGUACCUGAAGAAUAAGCAUCGGCUAACUCCGUGCCAGCAGCCGCGGUAAGACGGAGGAUGCAAGUGUUAUCCGGAAUCACUGGGCGUAAAGCGUCUGUAGGUGGUUUAAUAAGUCAACUGUUAAAUCUUGAGGCUCAACUUCAAAAUCGCAGUCGAAACUAUUAGACUAGAGUAUAGUAGAGGUAAAGGGAAUUUCC